CCUACGGGCGGCAGCAGUGAGGAAUAUUGGUCAAUGGACGAGAGUCUGAACCAGCCAAGUAGCGUGAAGGAUGACUGCCCUAUGGGUUGUAAACUUCUUUUAUAUGGGAAUAAAAUGUUCCACGUGUGGGAUUUUGUAUGUACCAUAUGAAUAAGGAUCGGCUAACUCCGUGCCAGCAGCCGCGGUAAUACGGAGGAUCCGAGCGUUAUCCGGAUUUAUUGGGUUUAAAGGGAGCGUAGGUGGAUUGUUAAGUCAGUUGUGAAAGUUUGCGGCUCAACCGUAAAAUUGCAGUUGAAACUGGCAGUCUUGAGUACAGUAGAGGUGGGCGGAAUUCGUGGUGUAGCGGUGAAAUGCUUAGAUAUCACGAAGAACUCCGAUUGCGAAGGCAGCUCACUGGACUGCAACUGACACUGAGGAGCGAAAGCGUGGGUAGCAAACAGGAUUAGAUACCCGUGUAGUC
This 460-nucleotide ribosomal RNA is filed under the name uncultured bacterium. RNAcentral describes it as "partial 16S ribosomal RNA". It matches the Rfam family "Bacterial small subunit ribosomal RNA", at positions 338 to 795 of the family's 1533-position model. The record is from RNAcentral.